GAAAGUGGUUCUUUUGAUGCUUAGUAUAAUAAACACUGAGCUAACAAUCUAAACUUCAUUCUUGAAUGAGUGGCACUCAAGGUGUAAAGGGACUUCAGGCCAGCCACAGUAGUGCAAAGUGAAGUGCAGAUGUGUUUAGGCCCCAUCCAUGUUAUUACAGCUUCAUCCAAUUCAGGGUCGAGGUAGAGCUGGAGCCUGUAUCUGCAAGAAAUGGGCUCAAGGCAGGGUACACCCUGGACAGGACUCCAGUCCAUCGCAGGGCACAUUCACACUCACAGCCACAUGUAGGGCAUAUUUCCCUAGAAGCCAGUUACCCUACCAGCAUGCUUUUGGACUGUGGGAGGAACCCGGAGGGAACCCACGUGAGCACAGGGAUAAGGUGCAAACUCCAUGCCGAUAGCACCCCGGGUCCGGGUGUGCACAGGCAGUGAUGAUUAAAUAUCCUCAAUAUUGCACUUGGCUGUAGCCACCUGAAUUGGUCUGGACUCAUCUUGCCAUGAGUCAGUGACUUGCCUGUGCACCAUUGUUUCUCUUCUUACCUGCCAAAUGUAUCACUUUGUGACACUGCUUCAUGUAAUGAAGCAUUUUAAGAAGCAGCUCUUUAAUUAAAUAUUCUGAAGGAAGAAUGGAAGAAAAGCAUAAUGUUUAUUGACUAAUGCAGAACAACAGUACAUGUGAACUAGGGAAAACGGCUCUUGAAACGUUUUGUCUAAGACUUGCAUUCUAAAUGGCAUGUGUUGUCUUCUCCCUUAGACAAAGAGAGAAGGUACUUGGUGAACAUGACUAUUCCAAGUCCAGUUUUGCCAUGACCUGCCUGUUGCUGAAGCCGGUGCAGAAAGUGUUGAGCAGCCCACCCCUGAAGCUUGAUUCACCACGAAGAGAAGCAAAGUGUUUCCCAAGACCUUUUAAGCCAGACCGUGUCAAAGACUCAAGGAGCCUUGUUGCCAGGGGGAACACACCGGAGUCUGUCUUUGGUGCUUUAAUAAACAAAAGUGCUUCACUUCCUUAUGGUGUUAUGGAUGUCUUAUUUCAAUUGCCGCUUCUCUGCUUUGUUCCAGGUCUGCCCUCUGGUGGUAGUGGGGUGGGGCUAGGUAUGGCUCCUCCCCAAACAGGGAGAUAGCCAAAAUUUGGGCCCGUUCCUGGGGGAAACAGGUGGGGAGUAGCUAGGAGGGCAGAGGG
This 1179-nucleotide long non-coding RNA is filed under the name Lepisosteus oculatus (spotted gar). Its description in RNAcentral is "lncRNA (ENSLOCG00000022649.1)". The record is from RNAcentral. Lineage: Eukaryota; Metazoa; Chordata; Actinopteri; Semionotiformes; Lepisosteidae.